UACGAAGGGGGCUAGCGUUGCUCGGAAUCACUGGGCGUAAAGCGCACGUAGGCGGAUCUUUAAGUCAGGGGUGAAAUCCUGGAGCUCAACUCCAGAACUGCCUUUGAUACUGGGGAUCUCGAGUCCGGAAGAGGUGAGUGGAACUCCGAGUGUAGAGGUGAAAUUCGUAGAUAUUCGGAAGAACACCAGUGGCGAAGGCGGCUCACUGGUCCGGUACUGACGCUGAGGUGCGAAAGCGUGGGGGGCAAACAGG
RNAcentral lists this ribosomal RNA (253 nucleotides) under uncultured bacterium. RNAcentral's name for it is "partial 16S ribosomal RNA". It matches the Rfam family "Bacterial small subunit ribosomal RNA", at positions 524 to 776 of the family's 1533-position model. The record is from RNAcentral.